CCUACGGGUGGCAGCAGUCGAGAAUCAUUCACAAUGGGGGAAACCCUGAUGGUGCGACGCCGCGUGGGGGAAUGAAGGUCUUCGGAUUGUAAACCCCUGUCAUGUGGGAGCAAAUUAAAAAGAUAGUACCACAAGAGGAAGAGACGGCUAACUCUGUGCCAGCAGCCGCGGUAAUACAGAGGUCUCAAGCGUUGUUCGGAAUCACUGGGCGUAAAGCGUGCGUAGGCUGUUUCGUAAGUCGUGUGUGAAAGGCGCGGGCUCAACCCGCGGACGGCACAUGAUACUGCGAGACUAGAGUGAUGGGGGGGGAACCGGAAUGCUCGGUGUAGCAGUGAAAUGCGUAGAUAUCGAGAGGAACACUCGUGGCGAAGGCGGGUUCCUGGACAGUAACUGACGCUGAGGCACGAAGGCCAGGGGAGCGAAAGGGAUUAGAUACCCUUGUAGUC
This 446-nucleotide ribosomal RNA is filed under the name uncultured bacterium. RNAcentral describes it as "partial 16S ribosomal RNA". It matches the Rfam family "Bacterial small subunit ribosomal RNA", at positions 338 to 795 of the family's 1533-position model. The record is from RNAcentral.